This 762-nucleotide ribosomal RNA is filed under the name uncultured bacterium. Its description in RNAcentral is "bacterial SSU rRNA". It matches the Rfam family "Bacterial small subunit ribosomal RNA", at positions 74 to 875 of the family's 1533-position model. The record is from RNAcentral.
UAGAGGUUCUUCCGACCCCAUGGACGGAAGGUGGAGUAUCCCGUCUGAAUCUGGCUUCAGGACGGGGGAUUGGAUGGGAAACGCUUGCUUGUACACCAUCUGCCCAAAGGUGAAAAAUUUAUCGCCUGACCAUGAGCUCGCGACUGAGCUGACUUUGGAGGGGUAAGAGCCCACUCCGGUUUGUAUCGGCACUGGUCUGAGAGGAUGAUCUGAAUGCUGGGACUGAGACACGGCCCUACUCCUACUGGAGGACUUAGUGGGGAAUUUUCCGCAAUGGGCUCAAGCCUGACGGAGCAAUACUGCGUGCGGGAGGAAGGCCCUUGGGUGGGUUCCGCUUUUGUUAGGGAAGAAAAUUUGACUGUACCUGUUCAAUAAGCCUCGGCUAACUCCGUGCCAUACUCCGCGGUUUGACGGAGGAGGCAAGCGUUAUCCGGAAUUAUUGGGCGUAAAGCGUCCUCAGGUGGCAUCUCACUUCUGCUGUCGGAUCCCGCGGUUCACCUCUGGAUCGGCACUGGAAACUGAGACGCUCGAUUACGGUAAGGACUGAGGGAAUUCCCAGUGUAGUUGUGACAUGCAUAUAUAUUGCGAAAAAGACCAUUAGCGAACGCGCUAUGCUGGUCCGUACCUGACACUCUUGGACUAUCGCUACGGUACCGAACUGCAUUAGAUACUCCUGCUGUCCUAGCCGUACACGAUGGACACUAUGUGUUGUGCGUAUCCACCCGUGCAGUGUGGGCUCUGACGCGUUACUGUCCAUGCCUG